This 492-nucleotide ribosomal RNA is filed under the name uncultured bacterium. Its description in RNAcentral is "partial 16S ribosomal RNA". It matches the Rfam family "Bacterial small subunit ribosomal RNA", at positions 29 to 507 of the family's 1533-position model. The record is from RNAcentral.
AGUGAACGCUGGCUGUAGGCCUAACACAUGCAAGUCGAACGGCAGCACAGUAAGAGCUUGCUCUUACGGGUGGCGAGUGGCGGACGGGUGAGGAAUACAUCGGAAUCUACUUUUUCGUGGGGGAUAACGUAGGGAAACUUACGCUAAUACCGCAUACGACCUACGGGUGAAAGCAGGGGAUCUUCGGACCUUGCGCGAUUGAAUGAGCCGAUGACGGAUUAGCUAGUUGGCGGGGUAAAGGCCCACCAAGGCGACGAUCCGUAGCUGGUCUGAGAGGAUGAUCAGCCACACUGGAACUGAGACACGGUCCAGACUCCUACGGGAGGCAGCAGUGGGGAAUAUUGGACAAUGGGCGCAAGCCUGAUCCAGCCAUACCGCGUGGGUGAAGAAGGCCUUCGGGUUGUAAAGCCCUUUUGUUGGGAAAGAAAAGCAGCAGGUUAAUACCCCGCUGUUCUGACGGUACCCAAAGAAUAAGCACCGGCUAACUUCGUG